Molecule: ribosomal RNA, 250 nt
Filed under: uncultured bacterium
Lineage: Bacteria
Also listed under: 1 other name
Description: partial 16S ribosomal RNA
Rfam family: Bacterial small subunit ribosomal RNA
Source: RNAcentral
UACGGAGGAUGCGAGCGUUAUCCGGAUUUAUUGGGUUUAAAGGGUGCGUAGGCGGCCUGUUAAGUCAGCGGUGAAAUCUAGGGGCUUAACUCCUAAAUUGCCAUUGAUACUGGUGGGCUUGAGUGUAGAUGAGGUAGGCGGAAUGCGUGGUGUAGCGGUGGAAUGCAUAGAUAUCACGCAGAACUCCAAUUGCGAAGGCAGCUUACUAAGGUACAACUGACGCUGAAGCACGAAAGCGUGGGUAUCAAAC